AUACAAAUGACACUUUCCAACUCAAGAAACUCGGAAUCCGUCUCUGUCCUAUAGCAAGUGGGCGCAACAUUCCAUUAAGUAGUUAGGAAAAAUGGAAUCUAGCUUUCAAAAGGCUGUGAGUGAUCUCGAACGACAAUGUUGUGUGGCGAUUGAAAUCAGAAAUGAAUCUUCCUUUACACUAUCUAAACCUGAGACUUACUGUGCCAAGGGCUGUGUUGUUCAUCCUCCACCUCCUCUCAUCGGGCCAAGAACUCAGGACUUCUGCAUCUUUGCUAAAACAGCCUUCUCUCCAUGUGGAUCAGGAGGGCUUCUAAAAUAUGAAAUUGAUGGCGAACUCAUUUUUCUUAAGUUUGAAAGUCCACUUAUAAGCAUUUUGUUCAGUCAUGAGUUUGGGUUGUAUGUCACAGAAAACAGAAUAGACAGUGAUGUGGCUAAUGAGAAAUUGCAUACAAAUUUUUCUAUUAAGUCAGAUAAAGUUAAAAGGUGCUGGAGCAACUCAGAAUUAUUGGAGUUUGAAGGCACAAGAUUUAAGAUAAUUGCCACCAUGGCACCGACUGCAAAAUCAAUAGUAAAAUUGCUUAUUAAAGAUAAAUGAGGCAAAAUAUAAAUGCUUAAAGAGUUCAGUUGCCAUGUUUCCCAUUCGCUCCUGCUUGCUUGUAAUUUCAUUAUACAAAACAUUUCUGGUGAGGGUAAAAGUGGAGGAAUGAGUGGUGCUAAUAAUAAUUUGCUACAGAAGAAAGACAAAUAAUAGCCAAAGCGUGCCUGAUUUCUUUUAAUGCAAGUAUGUUCAACUUAAAAUUGUAAUUUAACAACAAAUACUGUAAAGGCACGCUAACUGAUGCCACAAAGAGAAAGAUCUUUUCAAGAAUUAAAAAAAACAGGAGACUGCAACAGACUAAGAAUAUUGUACAGUAAAUGAAGGAGCUGAAGAAGGCUAAUACAAGGUUUAGUGUACGCAGCAAUGAAGUUCAAUCAAUAUU
Long non-coding RNA from Polypterus senegalus (gray bichir), 980 nucleotides. RefSeq lists it as uncharacterized. The transcript has 3 exons. Lineage: Eukaryota; Metazoa; Chordata; Cladistia; Polypteriformes; Polypteridae. The record is from RefSeq and is a predicted model, not a curated record.